GUAGGUGAACCUGCGGAAGGAUCAUUAGUGAAUUUUAGGGCGUCUAUUUGUUUAGAGCCUGACCCCCACUUUCUAACACUGUGCACUCAUUGGCGGGAGAAAAAAGGAUUUCUUCGGGAAUCUCUUUUUAUCCUGCGGCUUACUAUUUAAACACCAGUCAAAGUAUGUAACGAAAUAUCGAAAUAAAAAAAAACUUUCAACAACGGAUCUCUUGGCUCUC
This 220-nucleotide unclassified non-coding RNA is filed under the name rhizosphere metagenome. RNAcentral describes it as "partial ribosomal RNA internal transcribed spacer region". The record is from RNAcentral.